AGCAUUUCAGCAUUUUACUGCUGAGUUUUUCAGUGAUCGCUCAUUCAGUACACGCUUUAGAAGCUGCAUGACUUUUACUGUCUAAGCAAAUGGAAAAGGAAUCAGCCUCCGGCUGGUAAAAUGCAUCCUGGAGGGUCUUAAUGGUGUUGUAUAGUGAGGAAAGAAGUCCUAUAUUUGAAAGUUCAUGAAUGUGUGUAUCACAGACCACAAGCCUGUAAAGCAAU
This is a long non-coding RNA of Tympanuchus pallidicinctus (lesser prairie-chicken), 224 nucleotides long. RefSeq lists it as uncharacterized. Lineage: Eukaryota; Metazoa; Chordata; Aves; Galliformes; Phasianidae. The record is from RefSeq and is a predicted model, not a curated record. The transcript has 3 exons.